This is a non-coding RNA of Lolium perenne, 317 nucleotides long. The record is from RefSeq and is a predicted model, not a curated record. NCBI's taxonomy places the organism in Eukaryota, Viridiplantae, Streptophyta, Magnoliopsida, Poales, Poaceae.
AGGGAUCGGUACUCAUCAAUGACAGAUGGUGAGAAGGAAAUAUGCUUGCGCAAAAAAAGGGAGUAUAAGAAAUUAGUCCGGGAAAAUUCUUCGCCCUUGAUCACCUCACAUUGCACGCCUUACAUGCAAGCACAACCAUGUAAAACUAACCCAACAGACCGAGUUGACACAAACAGCGAUGAUGAGUCCGAUCCUGCAGGCAUUUUAGAGCCAUUUGAACAAGGUGCUACAUUGGAAGAGAACUUAGACACAUUACAAGAGAAAACAACAAUGCAUGAUGAUGAUGAUGAUGAGUGCAGGAUUUUUAGUGGUACAGG